AUUGAACGCUGGCGGCAUGCCUUACACAUGCAAGUCGAACGGUAACAGGUUAAGCUGACGAGUGGCGAACGGGUGAGUAAUGUAUCGGAACGUGCCCAGUCGUGGGGGAUAACUGCUCGAAAGAGCAGCUAAUACCGCAUACGACCUGAGGGUGAAAGCGGGGGAUCGCAAGACCUCGCGCGAUUGGAGCGGCCGAUAUCAGAUUAGGUAGUUGGUGAGGUAAAGGCUCACCAAGCCGACGAUCUGUAGCUGGUCUGAGAGGACGACCAGCCACACUGGGACUGAGACACGGCCCAGACUCCUACGGGAGGCAGCAGUGGGGAAUUUUGGACAAUGGGCGCAAGCCUGAUCCAGCCAUGCCGCGUGCGGGAAGAAGGCCUUCGGGUUGUAAACCGCUUUUGUCAGGGAAGAAAAGGCUCUGGCUAAUACCUGGGACUCAUGACGGUACCUGAAGAAUAAGCACCGGCUAACUACGUG
RNAcentral lists this ribosomal RNA (477 nucleotides) under uncultured bacterium. RNAcentral describes it as "partial 16S ribosomal RNA". It matches the Rfam family "Bacterial small subunit ribosomal RNA", at positions 30 to 507 of the family's 1533-position model. The record is from RNAcentral.